ACCGCCCACCGCUGCCCCCCCCGCAGCUCCCUGAGUCCCCACACGCCCCCGGGAGCCUCUACCCCACGCUGCCCAUUUCGCCCCCAGUGGCCCCCAGCGGCUCCCUGCUCCCGCUGCCCCACAGCGAGGGGCUGCUGCACAUCGCCUGCCCCACACCGCCGCCGGCCGCGCCGGCCCAGCCCCCCCCACAGAACGGCUUCCCAGCGCCCCCCAAGCCGCCCUACCACAGUUCACCAAGCUGGAGUGGCAGCAGUGCGGCCAUCUACGCGCCCAGCCUGGGGGGGCCGCAGCCCCCCCCCCAGCCCAGCGGCCGGAGCCACUCACAGCCCCCCCUGCACCACCCCAACCACUACUGUAAGUCUGCAGGAAGGGGCAGUGGGAA
Numida meleagris (helmeted guineafowl) is the source of this 382-nucleotide long non-coding RNA. RefSeq lists it as uncharacterized. The record is from RefSeq and is a predicted model, not a curated record. The transcript has 3 exons. Lineage: Eukaryota; Metazoa; Chordata; Aves; Galliformes; Numididae.